AUUUCAAAAAAAACCUUUUGCUUGACAACAUUCGAACAUUCGAACGGCCUGUGAACUGCUCUUGCAACAAUGAAUUUUUAUGAACUCUUGCGCCCCAUCACAUAUUUGUGUGGCGACCCUCGUGUCGCGAGCUUUGCCAAUGACCUACUUACCAAAAAACGGCUGACUCGGCGCGGGGAUGAAACUGGCGGAGGCGAAUGGAAAGAAAGCGAAUGGCAAAGGGAAGGCGGCGGAAAAGCGUGUCUGUCUGCUGAACCGAAGGAGGAGAACAGAGCACAAUGCGAUUGUUUGAACUGGAUGGACGGGAACGUGGACCAGGACACAUUGGAGGCAUUUGGCCGAUGCCAAAAGCUAAAAAGUCGCGACGCAAAGCAACAAUAAUUGGCGCAAGGUGGCCCAGUCAAGGAAAAACACGCAGCCACAUGGAUAGACAGACAAAUAGAGAGACAUACACUUAAGGCGGCUCACUGGGGCGAAAAGGAUGUGGCAGGAUGGCGGAUGAAGGGGUCCUGAGUGACAGAGAUGACAAUCAACAAAAGGACCCUCACACACACACACACUCGUGCACAUACAACACAUGCACACACACACACACAUGGAAAAAAUGACAGGAAGCAGCGACGCUAGCGCUGACUGCAACCGAAAUCAAAAUCAAAAUGAGAAUCGCAAAAUGCAAAAUGUAAAACGCCGCAAAUUGCUUGUAGGCAACACGGACAACAACAACAACAACGACAUCGCUGGCGACGGAUGGCAAAAUGGAAAUAGAAGAUGAACGGAAAAGCUGAGCGGUACCACGAUGAAAAGCGGUUACCCUAGACAAACCGAGCACUACUACUUGAACAAAGGGCACGAGACACAAAAUCCACUUUAUUUAAUACAUGUUUUAAUACAGUUUCAUAAAAAUCAUAACGAUUAUAAAUAAAUAAAUAAAUAAAUAUAAAUAAAUGAGGGAUAUCUUCAACUUUUGGUACAGU
This is a non-coding RNA of Drosophila melanogaster (fruit fly), 974 nucleotides long. Lineage: Eukaryota; Metazoa; Arthropoda; Insecta; Diptera; Drosophilidae. The record is from Ensembl.